This 73-nucleotide transfer RNA is filed under the name Candidatus Woesearchaeota archaeon. Its description in RNAcentral is "tRNA-Asn". It matches the Rfam family "tRNA". From Rfam's summary of the family: Transfer RNA (tRNA) molecules are approximately 80 nucleotides in length. Their secondary structure includes four short double-helical elements and three loops (D, anti-codon, and T loops). Lineage: Archaea; Nanobdellati; Candidatus Woesearchaeota. The record is from RNAcentral.
GCCCCCAUAGCUUAGCAGGUAGAGCGUGCGGCUGUUAACCGCAAGGUCGCCAGUUCAAGUCUGGCUGGGGGCG